Molecule: long non-coding RNA, 2311 nt
Organism: Prionailurus viverrinus (fishing cat)
Lineage: Eukaryota; Metazoa; Chordata; Mammalia; Carnivora; Felidae
Exons: 3
Source: RefSeq, a predicted model, not a curated record
GGGAUUUGAAAAGAGAAACAUGGAAGGGUCCUGAGAGCGACUUCCUGAAGAGGAAAAGGCUAGACGAUUUCCCAGAAUCUACAGUACCAUACCAGUGAUGGUGACACAGAUAUGGGAAGGAAAGUCCCCCAGGUCUCAGAUAUGAUGGCAUCAGAGACACAGAAAGACAAACAAACAAAACGGGAAGACUUGCCACGAUUCCGAAAAGUUGUCUAAAUUGGUCUCUAUCGAGUAAUAAAAUCACAGGUUUUUGAUGGCAUUAAGGAAAGCUGUUGCUGCCUGUUUUGAAGAUGCCUCUCUUAUCUCAAUGGCUAGUUUUGGACAUUUCCACACUUGAGACAUGAGAGACUUAAAGAGCCUCUUGGAUCAACAAGUCUGUUUUCCUUCCCUUGCCCUCCCACGAGUUUAAGACUUCUCCAGGAGAAAAUUCAAUUGCCUCCAACCUACCCAUUACCUGGUGACUUUACUCAGUGAAUUCAUUCCUUUGCUAGGCUGACUUGUACGUUGACCCUGAUUUUUUUUUCCCUCAAGUGCCUUGUUUAGCCACAUUUUAUGACUCUGCUCUUGACUGAGGCACACAGGUCAAACUGUUACUUUACAAAGGGAGGUUCAUAAAGUGAGUAUUUCUCAAGUAAUUCUGGAAACUAGAGAGGAAAUGAUUCGAGGAUACAAAGGGGUACAGCCAGUUUGUUGAGCUUCCAUACUGAAGAAUAAUGGCUUUACGUAGAACAUAAGCACUCUCCAGAGAUGUUUCUACAAAGCACACUUACAGUAGUUGAAGCAGUGCUCCUGAGAAAGGUUCCCUGGUGCAGGGUUACAGAAAGAAAUUUCUAAACCCUAACCAAACUGAAAGGGGGUUUUCAGAAAUGUCCUCUUCUCUCAGAGAGAGGUUAGGUACACACAAUAAGUACUGAGUCAACAUUUGUUUUUUGCUAACCACUCAGUAAAUUCUAGAGCAGACAUCUUCUACUAAGCUAUAGUCCUAACAAUGAAAGCGGGACCUGUUUAGCAGUUUAUGUUUCUAUUGUACAGGAGAAUGACUUCCUAGCUUAAGUGACUAUGCCUUUAUUAGAGGUUAUUAUGAUAUAAAGGGUUCAAGUUCUUAAGGGUUAUAAGGGGGUAAUAACUGAGUUUCUUGCCUCACUGUAUUUCCCUGGGGAAUACACAAUAGACCCCAUACAUGUAACUAAAUAAACCUAAGAUACGAAACCCUCUUCUCUAAGAAUUCCUACAGGAUGUAAACAUGAGAGAGACCCUCUGGGCUUAUGACCUAGUCACCAAGUUGGACUUAAAAAGGCAAGUAAAGAAAAUAGACUUACAUGUAAGACUCAAGUAAGGUGUUUAGAUAAUGGCACUGUGCAUGUAAUGAGGAUGCUGAAGACAACUGAAGUCAUAAAAAAGUGGGACAUAAAAUUGUCCAGGACAGAGUUUGCUUACAGGAAUAACAGGAGAGUGAUUGGAAUGCUAGAUUGGGACAAAAUGGUGGGCAGAAUAUUUUGCCCAUGGAAAGUUUAUAUUUCAUUUUGUAGGCUACUCUAGGAUAUUUACUUAAAUUUUAUGUUUCCUGACUGUCCAGGUAACAAUGGAAUCCUAUACAUUUUCUUCAGAUGAAAAAAGAUGGAUGUGUGCCAGUUAAUCAAACAGGAUAGAAUUUGCUUGCUCCUUUUUACGGGAUGAUGAUGACUAAUGCUGUAGAUAAUGCUUUAAACAGUGAUUUUGCUCACCAGACUUGGUCCCAAUGUUCUCAAUGAAAGUCAAGACCAUACUCUUGACAUGUGACUUUGGGAAGGGAAUUCUGAGAAGUAACAUUAAUGAGUUUUAAAUAUGGAGUCCUCUUUCUUCCUUCCUUCCUUCCUUCCUUCCUUUCUUUCUUCUUUCUUUCUUUCUUUCUUUCUUUCUUUCUUUCUUUCUUUCCAUGGAGAUUUCUGAUGAUUUAACUUGGUAAGAGGAUGUUUCAGGCUUCCAGCAAGUAUUGUAUAGUAGAUUCUAAGAAGCAAUUUGGCAAUAACUAUCAGAAAGAGCCUUAUAAAGGUCAGCCCAUUGACCUAAUUCCAUGUCUACCAAUCUACCGUAUCCAUGUUAGAAUAAUCUAGAACACAUGAAGAUGUUCAUUUCAGUAUUAUCUAUAAAAGUUAAAAAAAAGAGGAAAAACAAAUGUUCAACUGUAAACACAGUAGAUAUUACACAGAAUAAAAUACAAAGCCAUUGGCCUGGUAAUAAAUAAAUAACAUUACCAGCAUGAAGCUUGUGAUAUAAAUGAAAUGAAAUAGUUCUCAGCAUGUUAGUGAUUACACACUGGUAUUAAAUAGUA